This 564-nucleotide ribosomal RNA is filed under the name uncultured bacterium. RNAcentral's name for it is "partial 16S ribosomal RNA". It matches the Rfam family "Bacterial small subunit ribosomal RNA", at positions 355 to 912 of the family's 1533-position model. The record is from RNAcentral.
CUAAGAAUAUUCCGCAAUGGACGGAAGUCUGACGGAGCGACGCCGCGUGGAUGACGAAGGCCGAAAGGUUGUAAAGUUCUUUUGCUGGGGAAGAAUAACCGCAGGAGGGAAUGCCUGUGGGAUGACAAGAACCGGCGAAUAAGCCCCGGCCAACUACGUGCCAGCAGCCGCGGUAACACGUAGGGGGCGAGCGUUGUUCGGAAUUACUGGGCGUAAAGGGCAUGUAGGCGGCUUGGAAAGCCUGGCGUGAAAGUCUGCAGCUUAACUGCAGGGGUGCGCUGGGAACUGCUGAGCUUGAGUGACGGAGAGGGAGCUGGAAUUCCUGGUGUAGGGGUGAAAUCUGUAGAUAUCAGGAAGAACACCGAUGGCGAAGGCAAGCUCCUGGCCGAUGACUGACGCUGAGGUGCGAAAAGUGUGGGGAUCAAAACAGGAUUAGAUACCCUGGUAGUCCACACAGUCAACGAUGUGCACUAGGUGCUGGGGCGGUAGCUUCGGUGCCGGAGCGAACGUGGUAAGUGCACCGCCUGGGGAGUAUGCUCGCAAGGGUGAAACUCAAAUGAAUUG